GACGAACGCUGGCGGCGUGCCUAAUACAUGCAAGUUGAGCGCUGAAGGUUGGUACUUGUACCAACUGGAUGAGCAGCGAACGGGUGAGUAACGCGUGGGGAAUCUGCCUUUGAGCGGGGGACAACAUUUGGAAACGAAUGCUAAUACCGCAUAAAAACUUUAAACACAAGUUUUAAGUUUGAAAGAUGCAAUUGCAUCACUCAAAGAUGAUCCCGCGUUGUAUUAGCUAGUUGGUGAGGUAAAGGCUCACCAAGGCGAUGAUACAUAGCCGACCUGAGAGGGUGAUCGGCCACAUUGGGACUGAGACACGGCCCAAACUCCUACGGGAGGCAGCAGUAGGGAAUCUUCGGCAAGGGACGAAAGUCUGACCGAGCAACGCCGCGUGAGUGAAGAAGGUUUUCGGAUCGUAAAACUCUGUUGGUAGAGAAGAACGUUGGUGAGAGUGGAAAGCUCAUCAAGUGACGGUAACUACCCAGAAAGGGACGGCUAACUACGUA
Molecule: ribosomal RNA, 497 nt
Filed under: uncultured bacterium
Lineage: Bacteria
Description: partial 16S ribosomal RNA
Rfam family: Bacterial small subunit ribosomal RNA
Source: RNAcentral